UUCCUGGCCGCUCUUGUAGAUUGGACACCAGCUCAUCACCAACAUCGAGGCAAUGAACAAUUCUAGGAAGGAGGCCACCCAGGCGGAGGAAGGUCGUCUGGCCGAGGCCGCCCGCCUUAAGGAGAAGAUCAUCGAAGUCGCAAGUCUCCAAGAGGCACUGCAGAAGGAGGAGCAGACCUCGACAGACUUGAGGGCCACC
RNAcentral lists this long non-coding RNA (199 nucleotides) under Elaeis guineensis (African oil palm). Its description in RNAcentral is "long non-coding RNA (EGUI_LNC078554)". Lineage: Eukaryota; Viridiplantae; Streptophyta; Magnoliopsida; Arecales; Arecaceae. The record is from RNAcentral.